AUUAUCUCAAAGUAGAUUGGGACAAAUGGGUAGAUGAAGAUGAAGAUGACGGUACUUGACUGUCUAAAGAAUUUUUUUGUAAAUAGUAUUAUCAAAUUUAUAAUAUGCUUAUAAUUUUGGAUUUGCACCUGGUUUUGUUAGGUGGUUUAGGCAACAACUUUGACAUGGGAGGGAUGGAUUUCUCUGUAAGGAUUAGAUCAUAGUUUUUAUGUUUUCAAUGUUCCCUUUGGCUUAUGUGAUUUUAUUCUAAUUCGUUACUGUAUUUGCAGAACUUCGGUGAUAUGGGAGGAAUGGGUGAUGAUGGUGGUAUGGGUGAAUUUGAUGACAGUGAUGAUGAGGGUAAGAUUGCUUUAAGGUUUUUGUAGCUCAUGUUAGAUUAGUUUUAACGUUUAAUGAUUGGAAGACAUUAAUUUGGAUUGUUCAUAAACUUUAGUGGUAACAUAUGCAGCCCUAUUUUUGCUGGUCAAUUUGCUCUAAACUUGGAACUUUCUUCUUGAUGAUAAAGUAAUAGAUAGCAUGUUAUCUUCACUCAAAAUAAGUACCAUAUCAUUCAAUCUCAUUUAUAUUUUCAGCCGCGUAUUGUUAUCAUGAAUAUACAUUGGUAACCAUCGGUUGCCAUACCUUGUUUUCUGCUGUUCCUCUAUAUUUUCUGCACUCUGUAUUGACAACAUUAUUUAUCUUUAUUCUUGUUGUAGAUCAAGAAGUGGCAAAGCCUGAAAAGGCAGAAGGUGCUGCAAAGACAGGUGAAGAAGAAAAACUAGAAGAGAAAAAGGAUGCUGCACCAAGCAGUUGAAUAUGUUAAUUUAUUGAAAUGAUAGUUGUGCGCUAAAUUUUUCGGUAUACUAGUUAAAAGAGUGCUAUUUUCCUUAGCUGAGUGGAGUUGAGACAUUUCUGUCUUAUAGACAGUUGAAAAUGCUCUUUAACUUGGAUUAGAAUGUUGUACUUCUAGUCGUGCUUCAUGGAUGAUUAUUUGAGCUAAGAUUUGCCCUUCCAUAUUUGUUAGUGUUUUUCUUUUUACUAGUUGUGGGAUGGAAGUGGAACAAUUAAAAUUAGCAUUAAUAUUUAAAAAUUGCAAAAUUUUGACGCUAUUUUAGAGAAAUAUGCAAUCAAAUUGAGUAAUUAAAUAUAUGUAAAAUGAAAAUUAAAUUGUAUUGGGAGAGAGAGCGAAUCAAAUUGGCUUGAGUUGAUUUAGAAUCUAAACUUUUGCCUAAUCGGUAAAUAUGAGCUAGAAAAAAAAAAUAAUAAAAAAAAGAUAUUAAUAUCACAUUUCCUUUCAUGACUCUGUCGUAUGUAUAACAAGUCUACAAUGCAUUUAAAAUGAUUGCUACUGCUUCAGUAUAAAUCUACCCUAAUACCUGAUUUUCACAAAGUGAAACGGGCAUAAAAUGUAUUUCCCAA
This 1398-nucleotide unclassified non-coding RNA is filed under the name Hevea brasiliensis (rubber tree). The record is from RNAcentral. Lineage: Eukaryota; Viridiplantae; Streptophyta; Magnoliopsida; Malpighiales; Euphorbiaceae.